Molecule: unclassified non-coding RNA, 225 nt
Filed under: uncultured fungus
Lineage: Eukaryota; Fungi
Description: partial contains 18S rRNA, ITS1, 5.8S rRNA, ITS2 and 28S rRNA
Source: RNAcentral
AAGGAUCAUUAACAAAUCAGUUAUAUGGCGAAAGCCAUAUAUAUUCACCCCGAGCCUGGGAUUGUACAAUUGUACAGGACCGGCUUUGGUUGGGCCACAUCCCUUGUGGGUGUGGCUCCGGCAAGUACGCUUCGGCGCACUGGCCACAUAGACGCUUGUAUUGUUUGACAGAGUUAUAAUUGCUUAAAAAAAUGACAACUUUUAACAAUGGAUCUCUUGGCUCUU